AUGCUCGCUUUGGCAGCAUAUACGCUAAAAUUGGAAUGAUACAGAGAAGAUUAGCAUGGCCCCUGCACAAGGAUGACAUGUACAUUUGUGAAGCGUUCCAUAUUUUU
Small nuclear RNA from Sorex fumeus (smoky shrew), 107 nucleotides. The record is from RefSeq and is a predicted model, not a curated record. NCBI's taxonomy places the organism in Eukaryota, Metazoa, Chordata, Mammalia, Eulipotyphla, Soricidae.